Molecule: ribosomal RNA, 488 nt
Filed under: uncultured bacterium
Lineage: Bacteria
Description: partial 16S ribosomal RNA
Rfam family: Bacterial small subunit ribosomal RNA
Source: RNAcentral
ACUCAAAUGAAUUGACGGGGACCCGCACAAGCAGAGGAUCAUGUGGUUUAAUCCGAUGCUAAGCGAAGAACCUUACCGAGGUUUGACAUCCCGCGAAGUCCACCGAAAGGUAGACGUGCCCGCAAGGGAACGCGGUGACAGAUGCUGCAUGGCCGUCGUCAGCUCGUGUUGUGAAAUGUUGGGUUAAGUCCCGCAACGAGCGCAACCCCUGUCGUCUGUUACUCAUUUCAGACGAGACUGCCCGGGUCAACCGGGAGGAAGGUGGGGAUGAAGUCUGGUCGGCAUGGCUCUUACACCUCGGGCCACACACGUGAUACAAUGGCCGCCACAAUGGGCAGCGAAGCCGUAAGGCGGAGCAAAUCCCACCAAAAGCGGUCUCAAUUCGGAUUGAGGGCUGAAACUCGCCCUCAUGAAGCCGGAUUUGCUAGUAAUGGCAGGUCAGCCACACUGCCGUGAAUACGUUCCCGGGUCUUGUACACACCGCCCGU